AUUGAACGCUGGCGGCAUGCUUUACACAUGCAAGUCGAACGGCAGCGCGGGCUUCGGCCUGGCGGCGAGUGGCGAACGGGUGAGUAAUACAUCGGAACGUGCCCAGUAGUGGGGGAUAGCUCGGCGAAAGCCGGAUUAAUACCGCAUACGACCUGAGGGUGAAAGCGGGGGAUCUUCGGACCUCGCGCUAUUGGAUCGGCCGAUGGCAGAUUAGCUAGUUGGUGGGGUAAAGGCCUACCAAGGCGACGAUCUGUAGCUGGUCUGAGAGGAGGACCAGCCAACCGGGGACGGGAAACGGGCCCAGACCCCAAGGGGAGGAAGAGGGGGGGAUAUUGGGACAAUGGGGGAAAGCCUGACCCAGCAAGGCGGGGGGUGGGAUGAAGGCUUCCGGGUUGUAAAGCACUUUUGGCGGGAACGAAAAGGACUGUGCAAAUACCACGGUUCGAGGCCGGGACCAGAAGAAUAAGCACCGGUAAACUACGG
RNAcentral lists this ribosomal RNA (483 nucleotides) under uncultured bacterium. RNAcentral's name for it is "partial 16S ribosomal RNA". It matches the Rfam family "Bacterial small subunit ribosomal RNA", at positions 29 to 506 of the family's 1533-position model. The record is from RNAcentral.